Molecule: ribosomal RNA, 453 nt
Filed under: rape rhizosphere bacterium cse078
Lineage: Bacteria
Description: bacterial SSU rRNA
Rfam family: Bacterial small subunit ribosomal RNA
Source: RNAcentral
GAUUGAACGCUUGCGGCANGCCUUACACAUGCAAGUCGAACGGUAACAGGUCUUCGGACGCUGACGAGUGGCGAACGGGUGAGUAAUACAUCGGAACGUGCCCAGUCGUGGGGGAUAACUACUCGAAAGAGUAGCUAAUACCGCAUACGAUCUGAGGAUGAAAGCGGGGGACCUUCGGGCCUCGCGCGAUUGGAGCGGCCGAUGGCAGAUUAGGUAGUUGGUGGGAUAAAAGCUUACCAAGCCGACGAUCUGUAGCUGGUCUGAGAGGACGACCAGCCACACUGGGACUGAGACACGGCCCAGACUCCUACGGGAGGCAGCAGUGGGGAAUUUUGGACAAUGGGCGAAAGCCUGAUCCAGCAAUGCCGCGUGCAGGAUGAAAGCCUUCGGGUUGUAAACUGCUUUUGUACGGAACGAAAAAGCUUCUACUAAUACGAGAGGCCCAUGACGGUA